This 360-nucleotide long non-coding RNA is filed under the name Sorghum bicolor (sorghum). RNAcentral describes it as "long non-coding RNA (SBIC_LNC011641)". Lineage: Eukaryota; Viridiplantae; Streptophyta; Magnoliopsida; Poales; Poaceae. The record is from RNAcentral.
UCCAGCAUACAGCCCUACAUCUCCCGCAUAUAGCCCCACAUCACCAUCUUACAGUCCAACUUCGCCAUCUUAUAGCCCUACAUCACCAUCAUACAGCCCAACAUCCCCCUCAUACAGCCCUACCUCCCCCUCAUACAGCCCUACCUCCCCCUCAUACAGCCCUACCUCCCCCUCGUACAGCCCAACAUCACCUGCAUACAGCCCUACUUCGCCAGGAUACAGCCCAACAUCACCGAGCUACAGUCCUACUUCUCCGAGCUACAGUCCUACUUCUCCGAGCUACAAUCCUUCAUCAGCCAAGUACAGCCCUUCGCAUGCAUACUCUCCAAGCAGCCCCCGGAUGACUCCAUAUAGUCAGAC